Molecule: long non-coding RNA, 8342 nt
Filed under: Selaginella moellendorffii
Lineage: Eukaryota; Viridiplantae; Streptophyta; Lycopodiopsida; Selaginellales; Selaginellaceae
Description: long non-coding RNA (SMOE_LNC000900)
Source: RNAcentral
UGGAGCAGUUCUUCUCACAGAGAGGCAGAAGCUGUGGAGGGACAUGAACCGUAUCAUCCAGAAAACUUAUGCUAUUCCGCUGGCUCGACGACCAAGCAAUCCCAUCCGGGGGAUGUGCUUCUACUUGAUUCGCAAUCUGACAUAUCAAAAGUGCAUGAUCCUCGCACUCCUUGGCUACUCUGGGCUACUUGCGACUAACUAUGCUGGGCAGUCGGCAGUUGUUUCGGACCGGCGUCAGAUGGCUCACUGUGCGAUUACAACAUAUUUCCUGCUCGAAUCCGUGAUGGAGUUCCUUGGCGACGAGGUACCUCAUUCAUCUUUUUCUCGAUUGUUUUUUGUUUGACCACCUGGUUUUUCCUUUCUCCAGUGGAAGGUCUAUAAGAACGAGGUUGCACGGCAGAUGACGUUUGGACUCUCCAUAAUGGCCGCCAUUGGUCUCUUGGGAAAGAAGGGAACGGUGAGGGGCUAUGUCGGCCGCACUGCCUACAUUGCUCAAGUUUUUUGCAUCAUUCCUCACGUAGUGAGAGUGCGGGUUAUUAUGCGAACAAUGUUCAUCUGUUUGCCAACUGUAGCUGAGAUACUCGUUCUUCUCGCAAUUUUCAUGUAUAUGUUUGCGGGGAUGGCUUUCCAACUCUUCAGUGCAAUGAAGGAAGGGACCUGCAUUGGCCCGUCUGUCAACUUUCACACUUUCGUCAACGCUUUCAUUAACUGGUCUUGCGUUAUGAUGGAUACCACAAUUGAUGCACCCGCCUGCACCAACGGUAAAACACUACUCGGUGAUGAUUGUGGCUAUCCAGAGGGCGGGACUAUCUUCUUCACCUUCUUGGUCUUGGUCGGGAGUCACAUAUUCAUGAACUUGUUCGUGGCUGUCAUACUGGAUGCUGUAACCUUCAGCCUUUUGAACGAGAACUCUAUGGUUAUGCCGGAGCACCUGUUAGCGUAUCGAAACUUGUGGAGCCAAGAACCAUUCGAUCCCAAGUAAGCCACUUACUUACGUUCAAGUCCUUGUGGAACUAACUUUACAAUCGUCCAGUGCUAUGGGAUACAUUGGCAUGCACAAGCUGCGACGAUUUGUAAACGCCCUCGGUGACCCGCUGAGCCGGCGCUACAAGUCCGCAACCCAAUGGUUUGGCGUGUGUUUGUGGAGUCCUCCCAAUCUCGUUUUCUUCUUUGUUCUGCUCAGGUACGUGAGAAUAGAGUACGAGGUGAUGAGUUUUCGAGUUCCAAACAAAGGAAUCCCUUUCAAGGAGCUGCUGGAACGCUGACGCUGUAUAAGAUGGGACCAACUGUAAGUAGCUGUUAUUCCAACCUUUUGAUACUGACGCUUGGUUCCCGUGUUUAACGGGAGGCUAAUCCGAGCCAAGCGUAAGUAUCAAAAGGUUGGAAUAGCAGCUACUUACAGUUGCCUCCCGUUAAACACCAUCCUGAUUCAUUCUCUCUCCGCUUACCUGGCGAUGAUGUGGACAAUGAUUGGAGGGUGCGGCAGCAUUUCCAUGACAACAUUGUGUGGAUCACUGUGAAGAAAGAUGCUUCGGAGGACGAUCUCAAGGAGCUCCUCAACGCUCUUGAAUGGGGUGAAAUGAAAGAGAGGAUUUUAUAGCAGGGCCAUCCUCUGGCCAGAUCCUGGUGACAACCAGAAAGGAAGGCAUUUUGCAUCCGGAUGCAAAGGCAUUUGCUGUGCAUGAGCUAUCAAUGGACGAAAGCAAAAAGAUGUUUUGGAAGUUUGCCUUCAGUGUGCAUGAUCCACAACCCAGUGACCCUGAUGUUGUGGGAUUUGCCAAGAAAAUAGCUCGAAAAUGUGAGGGACUUCCUCUCGCUCUGGAAGUGAUUGGCAGUGCCAUGGCUGUCCACAGAAGAGAAGGGCCACAUGUGUGGGAAGAACGAUAUAAGAGGUUGCACUUGUCCAAUGACCCAGAUGUUGAGAAGCAGAUGUUCAAACGCUUGAAGUUCAGCUAUGACGAGCUGGGAAACUAUGAGGGUGAAAAGCUGCAAGAGAGCUUUCUCUAUGUGGCUGCAUUCCCACACAAAUUAAUUGAAUUUAGUUCCUUGAGCAAAUGUUGGAUGGAGGUUGGGUCAGAACUCUCACCCACAGCGAUUGUCAAUGAACUGGAACGGAGAUGCCUGGUCAAGAUAGAUAAGUCUUGGGGGUAUGAAGAAGCUCCUGGUUAUAUAAUCGUACACGAUAUGCUACCAUCUGACUCACUUUUGUUCCUCGAAUGUCAAGCACUUGAAGGUUUUUCAGCUUGGAAAUGCUCUCUGGAAUAAAAUGGAUCCUAGAGCAUCGCCACAAGCUCAAUACCUUGACACCUUGUAUGUGAUUGAUAAGACUGUCAUCCACAUUAGAAAGUCCUAUACAUUCAUCCAUAAGUAUAGCGCUUUUCAGCCUGACAUCACUGAAAUAUCUAAAAUCUACUUAGUGGACGCCCAUAAAGUGUAACAUUGCAUUACUGCCCCAGCUCUCCAACUUGGAAGAGCUGGAGCUGAGCCUUGAUUCAAAAGAGGAGUCAUCAGUUGUGGAUUUGACUGGAAUUUCACGUAAACUAAGACUUCUAGAUCUAAGAAUGACACAUGGUACAAUGAAGGUGCCAGAAAGCAUGGGGACAUUGGAGCACAUUGAAACAUUGGUUUUACAUGCAAACAACAUUGACUUUGCCAGUUUCGUUGGGUUAUGGCAACUUGUCAACCUAACAAAAUGUCUAAUUCGUGUGAGAACCGUCAGCAGAGCUACUUGGAAACAAAUGUUUAUGAAAUCAAUCAAGCUUCAACAUUUUUCCAUCGUUGGGGUAGAAGACAGUGAAAGUAGUGAUGACAGCUUCGAAUGGUUGCAACUACAAUAUUUAGACAUCCGUGAUAUCAUAAACCUAUCUUGGUUGCCCCAUAGAAACAUUUUUUUAUUAAAUGCAAUCGUAUCCACUUCUUCAACCUGGAUGGAUCAUUCCCAAGUCUUGAAAGGCUGUGGCUUACUAAUCUACGCAUUGCACAGUCAAAAUUCAAGGAUGAUUUGGCUGCCAGUCUUCCAAAUCUGAAAGAGUUGCACUUUUGGCUAGCUCCUGAUAUUGAAUGGGAGCAAUUGCCUCUCUUCACGAGAGCCUGCAUUUUCGUCGCAGCGCCCUGGAUGUACACGGCCUGGAUCCGCUUCUCACGCUCGAUGCGCAGAGUGAGAGGCAACCCCUGCGUUAAUCCGAGGCACGCUCCCAUUCGCCUCCCAACAGUCCAACCCAUUUGCUACGGGCUUCAGGAUCCAAGAGGGCAUUCACCACCUCAUCCAGCAGUUGCUCAUGGCCCCCAAACAUGGGAUCAGGAAAAACACGCCGUACAUAUUUUUUUGCAGGGCCUCUGUCUUGCGGGGAACUCCGUACGGCGAAGCUAGUGCUCGGCUGUAUCACUCUCAACUCUUCUCGCUCGUACCUUUCAAUUUUCGGAAGGAGAUCGUCCUCGUAGCUGUGUAUCAGCUCCGAGAUCUUGUCACAACGCUUCUCCCUGUGAAACAUCCAUAGAUCAUUUAGCUGUACUGUUAAAGCUCUCAAGUGUAUAUGCUUACUGUGAUCCCAGCAGUGCUUGCGCCUUGUCGUUCCAUUUUGUGACAAGAUCAAGACACUCCUCGGCUCCAUCAGAGUAGCGGAACUCUGGAUUCCGGUGCUUGUGAGUAUUAAACUUGUUAAGCAUGGCCUGAAUGCUGGUCGCCCCCUUGUCCAGCUUCGCAAUGUCCACAUUCAGCUCGUGCCCGUGACUUUCGAUCUGCGACAGGAGAUCGUGGUAGGAGCUUAUGCACUCCAUAAUAGGAAUGGAGUCCUUUUAAAACCGUUGUUUCGGCUCUCUGGUACAUAGCAUGUCAAGCUUGCGAGCCUUUGAAUCAUUUGAGAGCAUAGCCUGCGUGGAACUUGUCUGCGUCAAUUCUCGACAGCAGAAGCUGCGAGAAGAAUUUAAAGUUCCAAGUGUAAGCAAACCAAGACUUGUAUGUACCUUGAAUGAAACUUAACACGAAACAAUUAGUUCGAUGCUUUACACCAAUCAAAGCUUUGAACAAAUAGCACACGCUCCUACGCUUUCCCAAUACACAAAACACGGAGCACUGGAGAAAGGAUACUGAUAGCAAAGAAACAAACUCUACUUACAGUAUAAACCCCGCUUAUCGUCCUAAUUUUCAAAACCGCUCUGGCCACCACAGGCAAAACAUCACGCAAGGGUCCAUUCUAACAAAAACCUGACCUUCAUGCUGCAACAGGAGAAUCCGGAGCUGAUCCAAUUGAAGAAGCUUCGGGAUCCUUAGGCAAGGCAACGUAAUUCAUCAUCGGAGAGUAGCGUUUCACCCGGCUACCCUUUUGAGGACCCUGAUUGCUAGCCUUAGGUGCGGGUAAGGGCUCAGGGACUAUCGAAAGUCGUCGGUUUGCAUUGUUUCCACUCACGCGAAGUCCCACCUGUCCCUUUUUGGACGGCUUUGUGCCGUAGAGCAGCUCCUGCUCAGUUUGCAGUUGUUCCUGCAUUCUCUUCUCCUCCUGCAUUUAGCCAGUUAACGUCUUAACAGGCACUAAACUGCAGAGUUACCCUCAGUCGGCGCUUUUCUUCUUCUUUCUCUCGUCGUAGCAAGCUAUAUUCUUCUAGAAUUGCCAGUAGAGAAAUCUGCAAAGCACUUUCAGAAGCGUCUACGAAAAUCACUUACGUACCCCGUUAUAUAAGAAGGGCCUGCCUCUUUCGUCCUCCCAAGACCGCGUUUUGGACUUCAAUGAUUCAAGAAGAUCUGCAAACGGGUUGUGAAAACUGAGAAAAGGAAAUAGCAAACGAAGAAUUCAAACGCACUGGGGAGUUUGGCCACGAUGACACGAGCUCUUUCUGCACGUUUUAGAUUCAAAUGUGCUCCUCUGGUUGCAUUGAAGCGGCUUUCAUCCUACAAUCGAAAAUGAAUAAGUGAAAUAGCGUAACGCUCAUACCUUAUUGUAUUCUUCAAGCUUGCUUUCUUCUUCACACGCACUAAUCCACCGUUCCAUUCAUUCCAUUAUAUCUUGUCUGCCGAGUGAUUCUUCCUUCUCCUCGGCGAUACUACUUUCGAUUGUAGCAAGUAGUUCUGACAAGUCCACUAUCCCUGUGCACACGAAACAUCAGCCAGGAAAUGCACACAGAAUAAAUUUUUACCUGACUCCCGAUCGUCUUGGCUAAGUUCUCUAGCGUCUCAUCGCUAAUACUUCUGCUCUGGCCUGGAUCACAAAGGCUCGGAUGCACUUCCUUGACAGCCUCGGUGUAGUCUGCCCCCAACAGGACGCAAUAUCCCUGCAGAACCUCGAGAAGCUCUGAGAAUUUGUGGAGCCGGCUACUCUGGAAAUGUCACUUGUAAGAAAAAAGAAUGCCAACCGUGCCAAUACAAACCAACCUUUACAUCCUGAAGCUCUUGAACCUGGCAAUGGUACUCAUACAGCUUUCUCAGCAACAAACCUUUCCAAGAAAAAGCUCCAUUCUCGGCCUCUUGCAAUGCCCCUGGCGAUAUCUCCUGAGAGAGCCUUUGUGUCUGGCAUUGCACGUCCUCAAAUUGCUUCCGCCGCUCCUCUUUCCUCAGACGCAAGCAUUCUAACUGAGGUGAGACGGACAAGAGCUGCUCUCGCAGAGUAGUGCCCGACCUCUUCUCUAACUGAAAGGAAGAACAACGGGCAUUAGAAAAGCACUGUGAGAUGGAUCAAACAACGCGUACCAUGCAAGGGCGAUCACCCAGGAGCGACAGGAGCGACGCGAGCUCCGACUCGGAAUCCGCCAGCAGCUGGUGCAGCCGAGCCCUCGCGCAAUUCGCUUGAUCCACCUUUCGCCGGUACACAUCCAGGCAUUCUUGCUCCAGCUGGAGCAGCAUUCUGUCCCUCUCCUCGUCGCUCUCCCCCAUCUCCUCCGCGCGGGCGAUCCACCGCGAUCGUGAGAAACUCCAGAGGUAAUAUUUCGCGAGGUUACCUGGAGCUCCCGCAGCAGCGAUCGGCAAGUCGUGUCCUCGCCUUCCAUGGCCUCCAGAAUCAAAAUGCGAGUCCCCAGAUCACUCAAAACAAUCAAGAAUCCUCCGCGAGAACGCCGCCGCCCUCGCCAUCGCCCCCUGCUCCAACCUAAACCUUUUACGCCUGCCACGUGUUACAGAGCCUAAACCAGCGACAAAUAUUCUCAGCGUUUAAAUUGAUGCUUCUUGCAGUAUGAGUGACCUCGAUCCUGGUGGUGGUGAUGGUCGUGACUAUGGUUGUGACCAUGGUCGUGGCUGGGAUGGCGAUGGUGCUGGUGCUUCUCAGCGCCAUGCUCGUGAUCAGAGCACUGUGUUCUUCUGGCGUGAUCGUCGUCCUUGGAGCACUGCUUACCACCGUCGUGAUCGUGGUCGUGAUCCUUGCAAUUCUUUCCCUGGUGAUGGUGGUGGCCUGAUGAUCUCUUCUUCCCUGUCCCUCGGAGUAAAAGCGUACUGUUUGAGAUCACCAGCAAGCACGCCCCGACGUCGACCAGGACCGCCAUCCACAGGUAGCCAUAGCCAGCGAACGAGAAUGCCAGUAUCGCCACUUUGAGGCCCACCGAGAUGACAACGUUCUGUAUAACUUUGGUGCGGACUCUCCUUCCCAGACUCACCACCAUGCUCAGCUUCCGGAGAUCGUCAGUCACGAGGAAAACGUCCGAUGUCUCCACAGCCACUGCUGAUCCGGCUAGACCCAUGGCAAAUCCUACGUCCGCCGCUGCUAAAGCCAGGGCGUCGUUUAUCCCGUCGCCUAUCAUUCCCGCCACACCGUGGUUUUCUUUCAGCUCUUGGAUGAUUUUGACUUGGGAGAAGACCGGAGUGUACAGUAACUCCUCCCAACUGUAAUGGAGAUUAUUCAGUGACACCUCGAAGAUGGAAAUAGAAGCUUACAUUGCUCUGGACGCUCUGGGCCGUCUCAUGGUUAUCCCCAGAUAGCAUAUGGAUAUGGAGCUUCAUACGCUGCCAUACACAAAAGAAAGCUUGUAAGGAAACAAGGGGCAAUAUUUCGAGCAUCGAUCUGCAAGUCGUGUCCUCGCCUUCACUUUAUCUCUCUCCCCUCAAGCCAAUUGAAAAAGAGGCAAUUGCUUGACGAUUUGGAAUGGUGGUCACUUGAGGCUCUUGUUUUACUCUCAGGGCUGCUGCCAGAUCCUCAGCUCGAGACGUCCCUCAUUCUUUGCAGCUGGAGAAAAAGUUGUAAGAAAAAAAAAGAAGAAACAAUAGAAGAAAACUUACCGGCCUUCUUCGUCCCAAAUCUACUCACGAGCGUGUUCUUCCGAUCGAUCCUCAUUUAUCAAUCCACCCCCGUGUCAUUCUGGUUGCGGUAAUCCAUCAUGUACGAAACACCACGAACUCUAGCCUAGGUUCCAUUCCUAACACCUGUGAAGAAAAAGCAGCAUAAAAGGAAUGAAAUAUUACCAUUUGCAAGAUCCUGGACGAGAAUGCCGUACCUUGUUCAAUACUACUGGCAAGAUCUUCACCUCAUCAAAAACCCCGAGAGCAAACAUGGUCGGUCCAGGCACCGGCUUCACUGUUCGCAUUCGCUCCACAUCGAUGCGGCGAUCUUGGUCUUGCUCAAAGCGGUGGAAGCACAAGCUGCGAGUCUUCUUCCUGUAGAGGAGAAUACAUAACCUUCUUGAUCUGCGCGUUGGCGAUGUUCCAAUAGGAUGUUUUACUGGUAACGGUGGAUCAUAGCGCCUGCUGAGCAUACCGGCGAGCGAUCCAUCUCCUCAUCAAUUCUGUCCAAUCCUCCUGUACACAUGAAAACGCGAGACCUGGAAUAGCGAUCAGCAGAGUUCUUGUCGACACCCGAUGCCGCUACACCGUCGUCAUGCAUCGGCCGCGCGGAAGAAGCCAGGAAAUUUGGGGGGCGCCACGAACGGGAUCGAGACUAGGAGCUCCGAAAUAUCCACAAUACCCUUCGAUGUGAUGCCAGCGCCGGGAACAAGACGCGCGCAGCGCCUCGAUUCUCGGAAUACGAGAAUGCCGCCGAUCAAGAUUCCUACCGCCUGCCAGCUAGGACUAGGAGAACCUGCUACUAGAACGGUCGCGGGUUCGACUCCCAUUGACGCCAUGCUCCAGUGUAUUUAAGAAUACCCACAUAUCAUCCAGAAACUUAUGCGAUUCUGCUGGCUCGACGACCAAGCAAUCCCAUCCGGGGGAUGUGCUUCUACUUGAUUCGCAAUCCUACAUAUCAAAAGUGCAUGAUCCUCGCACUCCUACUUGUGACUAACUAUGCUGGCUAGUCAGCUGUUUCACACAUGGCUCAUUGUGAGAUUACAAGUACCUCAUUCAUCUUUUUCUCGAUUGUUUUUUGUUUGACCACCUGGUUUUUCCUUUCUCCAGUGAAAGGUCUAUAAGAACGAGGUUGCACGGCAGAUGG